This 274-nucleotide ribosomal RNA is filed under the name uncultured bacterium. RNAcentral describes it as "partial 16S ribosomal RNA". It matches the Rfam family "Bacterial small subunit ribosomal RNA", at positions 523 to 796 of the family's 1533-position model. The record is from RNAcentral.
AUACGAAAGGUGCAAGCGUUGUUCGGAUUUACUGGGCGUAAAGAGAUCGUAGGUGGUUUAUUAAGUCGGAUGUGAAAUCCCGGGGCUCAACCCCGGAACUGCAUUCGAUACUGGUAGACUAGAGUUUGGGAGGGGUAAGCGGAAUUCCGUGUGUAGCAGUGAAAUGCGUAGAUAUACGGAGGAACACCUGAGGCGAAGGCGGCUUACUGGACCAAUACUGACACUGAGGAUCGAAAGCGUGGGUAGCAAACAGGAUUAGAUACCCUAGUAGUCC